GACAGGUGAGACAGCGACAGGUGAGACAGCAACAGGUGAGACAGGACAGGUGAGACAGGACAGGUGAGACAGCACAGGUGAGACAGCAACAGGUGAGACAGGAAAGGUGAGACAGCGACAGGUGAGACAGGACAGGUGAGACAGCGACAGGUGAGACAGCGACAGGUGAGACAGGACAGGUGAGACAGCGACAGGUGAGACAGGACAGGUGAGACAGCGACAGGUGAGACAGGCAGCGGACCCUACAGUGAACUGCCCUGCUCUCGGAGAUUAACCUGUUUAUUCUACAUAAUAAAACAAUUCAAAUACUUUAAUAAUUUAAACUUUUGUAAACAAGGUUUAUUGUUCCAACGGACGUCAGUAUUGAUCUACUGUUUGAUGACGCUGUGCUCAGUCAGCGGGCCUCCU
Long non-coding RNA from Dicentrarchus labrax (European seabass), 408 nucleotides. RefSeq lists it as uncharacterized. Lineage: Eukaryota; Metazoa; Chordata; Actinopteri; Moronidae. The record is from RefSeq and is a predicted model, not a curated record. The transcript is spliced from 3 exons.